Nerophis ophidion (straightnose pipefish) is the source of this 808-nucleotide long non-coding RNA. RefSeq lists it as uncharacterized. The transcript has 2 exons. The record is from RefSeq and is a predicted model, not a curated record. Lineage: Eukaryota; Metazoa; Chordata; Actinopteri; Syngnathiformes; Syngnathidae.
AAGCAUUCUGGGAACUAUCAACACAGGGUAUCCAGGAAGCAGAAGCAUCAUGUUUUUUAUUAUCGGAAAAACAUACCAUUACACAACAAAAUAGCGAGGAAUUGCUGUGUUAUUAAUAGUCAUAGUUGAUGUUGCGACCGCAAAUCUUAACAAAUGAAUAAGUGUUUUAAUCAUUUUCCUACAUGGAGAAGAAACAACAUCUUUACCAAGCACUACAUCUGCAGCUGCCACGAGAGGCGACUCAUCAGAUGGAGAAGCAGACCUGUCAGGAGGAUGAUGGUGACACAAUGGACAAAAUGACCUGCUUGCAGGAGGAGAAUAGAAAGUGAAAGGAAGAGCUGAUAAGCAGAUCACUGAAACCUUCGGCUUGAAGACUGAACACUUAGCAUCGGUUGAUGGGGAAUUGGACAUAAAAGAAAGUGUUGUCCUACUGGGUGUCACUUCUGCAUUUAACAGGUGGUGCAGCCAACUUAAUACAAAAGAUGUGGAGAAACAAGGCAGCUAUCUCACGUCAUGAUGCACGUCUAGCAAGUUGUUGGGUGUUUCCAACACUUUUUAUGUACUUGGUGUGGUCCAUUUAAAGGUGAGGACAUGACUUCACUAGAUACGAUUGUGGUGUAUCCUGUGAUUUGAUUAUGUUGCGCCAGAGUCCUGUUUUGAAGCCGUCAUUAGAAUGUACACAUCAAUUAAAUGUCAUUAACUUGUAAAUGGUAAGUAGUUUUCUCUACAUAUGUCUAAAGAUUGUUCAGAAGUGAAGUGUUUUUUUUUCCCAUAUAUGAAAAAUAAAAAACACAAACUGAAUUGUAAA